Molecule: ribosomal RNA, 480 nt
Filed under: uncultured Curtobacterium sp.
Lineage: Bacteria; Bacillati; Actinomycetota; Actinomycetes; Micrococcales; Microbacteriaceae
Description: bacterial SSU rRNA
Rfam family: Bacterial small subunit ribosomal RNA
Source: RNAcentral
UACAAAGGAAUUGACGGGGCCCGCACAAGCGGCGGAGCAUGCGGAUUAAUUCGAUGCAACGCGAAGAACCUUACCAAGGCUUGACAUACACCGGUAACGCCCAGAGAUGGGUGCCCCUUUGUGGUCGGUGUACAGGUGGUGCAUGGUUGUCGUCAGCUCGUGUCGUGAGAUGUUGGGUUAAGUCCCGCAACGAGCGCAACCCUCGUCCUAUGUUGCCAGCGGGUCAUGCCGGGGACUCAUGGGAGACUGCCGGGGUCAACUCGGAGGAAGGUGGGGAUGACGUCAAGUCCUCAUGGCCUUUAUGACCAGGGCUACACACGUACUACAAUGGCCGGUACAAAGGGCAGCGACACAGCGAUGUGAAGCCAAUCCCGAAAAGCCGGUCUCAGUCCGGAUUGGAGUCUGCAACUCGACUCCAUGAAGUUGGAAUCGCUAGUAAUCGCGGAUCAGCACGCCGCGGUGAAUACGUUCCCGGGCCUU